Molecule: ribosomal RNA, 253 nt
Filed under: uncultured bacterium
Lineage: Bacteria
Description: partial 16S ribosomal RNA
Rfam family: Bacterial small subunit ribosomal RNA
Source: RNAcentral
UACGAAGGGGGCUAGCGUUGUUCGGAAUUACUGGGCGUAAAGGGCUCGUAGGUGGCCAACUAAGUCAGACGUGAAAUCCCCCGGCUUAACCGGGGAACUGCGUCUGAUACUGGAUGGCUUGAGUUCGGGAGAGGGAUGCGGAAUUCCAGGUGUAGCGGUGAAAUGCGUAGAUAUCUGGAGGAACACCGGUGGCGAAGGCGGCAUCCUGGACCGACACUGACGCUGAGGAGCGAAAGCCAGGGGAGCAAACGGG